Molecule: long non-coding RNA, 416 nt
Organism: Mauremys reevesii (Reeves's turtle)
Lineage: Eukaryota; Metazoa; Chordata; Testudines; Geoemydidae
Exons: 3
Source: RefSeq, a predicted model, not a curated record
AUGGCACUGGAAAAUAUCAUUAAUCCACAUACCCAUAAUUGAAUUUGUCCUUUGCUCAAAUCUAAAAUAAACGCUGCCUAAGAAAAGCCGAUAAUGUUCACCAUGAAUCUCCUUCGAAAUAUGGACCCUAAAGGUGCUUCAAAACAUGCACAAAGGAAAUGUUACCAAACUACUUACAAAAGUGUCCAGACAUGACAGGACAUAGCCACAGGGCUAAAUCAUAACAGAACCAGGUCAUUGUAGAGUCAAAGUGAAGGUGAACAGGAAGCGCUAGAUGUGGAACUUCCAGCAGCUGAUGGUGGGGGAUCCUUAAUACACAGAGAGCAGAUAUGGAGUCCUUGACUCUUCUGUGCAGCUGGAAUUGGCCAGAAAUGAGUCAAGCGCUCCCAACUCAGGUCCCCUCUUUCUGAACAAAC